UCAAACUUGGUCAUUUAGAGGAAGUAAAAGUCGUAACAAGGUUUCCGUAGGUGAACCUGCGGAAGGAUCAUUACCAAGGGUUUCCCUUACAAACCCAUCAAUCCACCGUGUGCACUUAUCAAAUCCCUCAGUCCAAGGGUUUACCCUCGGGCAGAGGGACCAUUUUCUAGCCUGAAAAUCUGUCUGACCAAUUGUUAAAAUGUACAUACAACUUUCAACAACGGAUCUCUUGGCUCUCGCAUCGAUGAAGAACGCAGC
This 258-nucleotide unclassified non-coding RNA is filed under the name uncultured fungus. RNAcentral's name for it is "partial contains small subunit ribosomal RNA, internal transcribed spacer 1, and 5.8S ribosomal RNA". The stretch from base 1 to 73 matches the Rfam family "Eukaryotic small subunit ribosomal RNA", at positions 1759 to 1831 of the family's 1831-position model. Lineage: Eukaryota; Fungi. The record is from RNAcentral.